This 378-nucleotide ribosomal RNA is filed under the name uncultured bacterium. RNAcentral's name for it is "bacterial SSU rRNA". It matches the Rfam family "Bacterial small subunit ribosomal RNA", at positions 31 to 415 of the family's 1533-position model. The record is from RNAcentral.
GAACGCUGGCGGAAUGCUUUACACAUGCAAGUCGAACGGUAGAGGGGGCAACCCCUUGAGAGUGGCGAACGGGUGAGUAAUGUAUCGGAACGUGCCCAGUCGUGGGGGAUAACGUAGUGAAAAUUACGCUAAUACCGCAUACGAUCUAUGGAUGAAAGCGGGGGAUCGCAAGACCUCGCGCGAUUGGAGCGGCCGAUAUCAGAUUAGGUAGUUGGUGGGGUAAAGGCUCACCAAGCCAACGAUCUGUAGCUGGUCUGAGAGGACGACCAGCCACACUGGAACUGAGACACGGUCCAGACUCCUACGGGAGGCAGCAGUGGGGAAUUUUGGACAAUGGACGCAAGUCUGAUCCAGCCAUUCCGCGUGCAGGACGAAGGC